AGUCGGAUGCCGUCAAGUGCUGUGCAGAGUCGCUCCGUUUGAAAUCGUCAGGAGGAUGAAAUCGCUGCCUUUAUUCGGCGUGUUCCUGACUUUAUUAACCCGUGUCCAUUCCGAUGUCGUGUUAACUCAGCCCGCGGCGGAGACAGCCACACCCGGAGGAUCAGUGAAGCUCACCUGUAAAACCAGCGGGUUUGCUCUCAGCAGCUACUAUAUGAGCUUGGUCCGUCAGGUCACCGGACAGGGGCUGGAAUGGCUCCUUGCAUACCACAGUUCUUCAUACCAGUAUUACGCCCCGGGGAUCCGGAACAGAUUCACUCCGUCCAAAGACUCCACAAACAAUAUGUUCACCGUUGAUGUGACCCAGCUACAAACGGACGAUACCGCUGUCUAUUACUGUGCGAGAGACACAGUGCGGCGAACAAGAUGUGACAAUCUUGAUUACUGGGGAGGAGGCACCAUGUUGACGGUGACAACCGCGGCAGAGUCCCAACCCACCGUCUACCCUCUCCUUUCAUGUGAGCAAUCCAGUGCCACUGAAACAUUGACCUUCGGCUGCUUGGCAACGAAUUACUCUCCGGUGGGUAUCAACGUGUCCUGGACGACAGAUGAAGCGACAAUCACAACAGGAGUGAACACCUAUCCAUCUGUGUUCAACAAGAAAGGAACUUACACUCGCAGCAGCCGGUUAAUUCUCACCGAGACACAAGCGAGGAGCAGCGCCAUCUAUUGUGUCGUUCAGCAUCAAGAUUCAGUCCAGAAAAUUAAAAUCCCAUGGCGAGUGCAUCAUCCAAACGUUGUUAUCUCCGUGAACACCCCUGAAGAUAUUAAGAAGAGCAGACAAGGGACUGCAGUCUGUUCUCUGACCGACUUCCAACCGGCGGAAUUCACCGUGACCUGGCUGAAAAAUGGACAGCAGGUGAAUUCCGGCGUCAUCACCUCCCCUGCUUUUGACAUGAAUGGGAACUUCUCAGCGACAAGCCAGGUGACUUUCACGGCGACGGAAUGGUUCGCAGGCUCUGUCUAUACCUGCCAGGUUACGCACAAAGAUUACAUGCAAAGCCGAAAUAUCAGCGAAACUCCAGAAACAUGCGAAGCUGUACAAGUAACAAUUGAACCACCACCAGUGGAGCAGGUCUUACUGGAGGCGAGGGUCACCUUAACCUGCGUCAUCACUAAUGCGCCUUACGGCGUCCAAGUGUCCUGGAGGCGAGGAGAGAAUGUGUUGAAAACAGAGACUGCCCACCAGCAAGAAGAUCCCCCCCAUAGAGUGAUCAGCCAACUGAAUAUUUCGACACAAGCUUGGCUGAGUGGGGACUUAUUCGAAUGCGUGGUUAGCCACGAGGAAAUGCCGACACCAAAAAGAGCAUACAUCCGCAAGGAAAAACCUGAACAUCCUCAGGAACCAUCCGUCUCUGUCCUCCUUCCGCCAACAAGUGAAGAGUUCACAGAGAACACCGUCAUCCUCACCUGCUUAGUGAGAGGGUUCUCGCCUCGGGAGAUUUUCGUCACGUGGACGGUCGAUGACACGCGGGUGGAUUCACGUAACUACACGAAUACCGCAGUUGCGGCAGAGAACGGCAACAAUUCAUUCUUCAUGUACAGCCUGUUGUCUGUUCGUUCGGAACAAUGGUCUCGAGGUGCUUCUUUCUCCUGUGUUGUGGCACAUGAAACCCUCCCGAUGAAGAUCAUCUCAAGAACCGUUAAUCGGUCCAGUGAUUUUGCAGAAGACAUCCGGAUUGAAGACUAUGGGGAAGACACAGAGAACUUAUGGACGACUGCUUCCACAUUCAUCAUCUUAUUCUUCCUGAGUAUUUCCUACAGCGCUGCCCUAACUUUAGUGAAGGUGAAGUGAUCACUCGAAAAUAGGAAGGAGCGGAUUUUUCUUACUGAACUAUUCACAUCUGCGAUAACAUGCAAGAAUGUACCACCAUUUGAAGUUAGCAAAGCCAUGGACUGAAUUCGUGUUUUAAAGCUGGAAUGUUCAUCACUGCAACUUUAAUGUU
Mobula hypostoma (lesser devil ray) is the source of this 2003-nucleotide non-coding RNA. The record is from the annotation of a RefSeq genome assembly. NCBI's taxonomy places the organism in Eukaryota, Metazoa, Chordata, Chondrichthyes, Myliobatiformes, Myliobatidae.